Molecule: ribosomal RNA, 253 nt
Filed under: uncultured bacterium
Lineage: Bacteria
Description: partial 16S ribosomal RNA
Rfam family: Bacterial small subunit ribosomal RNA
Source: RNAcentral
GACAGAGGGUGCAAACGUUGUUCGGAAUUACUGGGCGUAAAGCGCGUGUAGGCGGCUAUGCAAGUCGGAUGUGAAAGCCCUCGGCUCAACCGGGGAAGUGCACUCGAAGCUGCAAGGCUAGAGUCUCGGAGAGGAUCGUGGAAUUCUCGGUGUAGAGGUGAAAUUCGUAGAUAUCGAGAGGAACACCGGUGGCGAAGGCGGCGAUCUGGACGAUGACUGACGCUGAGACGCGAAAGCGUGGGGAGCAAACAGG